CAUUUCUUCACUUUGACAUUCAGAGCACUGGGCAGAAGUCACAUUGCGUCAGCACUGAU
RNAcentral lists this long non-coding RNA (59 nucleotides) under Rhipicephalus microplus (southern cattle tick). Its description in RNAcentral is "uncharacterized LOC119179858". The record is from RNAcentral. Lineage: Eukaryota; Metazoa; Arthropoda; Arachnida; Ixodida; Ixodidae.